CUACGGGUCGCUCCAGUGGGGAAUUUUGCGCAAUGGACGAAAGUCUGACGCAGCUAUACCGCGUGAGUGAAGAAGGCCUGCGGGUUGUAAAGCUCUGUCAAGUGGGACGAAAAACUUACCAGUUCAUAGCUGGUAGGCCUGACGGUACCACUAAAGGAAGCACCGGCUAACUCCGUGCCAGCAGCCGCGGUAAUACGGAGGGUGCAAGCGUUGCUCGGAAUUAUUGGGCGUAAAGGGUAGGUAGGUGGUCUUGUUUGUCUGAGGUGAAAUCCCUGAGCUUAACUCAGGACGUGCCUCAGAAACGGCAAGACUGGAGUCCUGGAGAGGAUCGUGGAAUUCCUGGUGUAGCGGUGAAAUGCGUAGAGAUCAGGAGGAACAUCAGAGGCGAAGGCGACGAUCUGGACAGGUACUGACACUCAACUACGAAAGCGUGGGGAGCAAACAGGAUUAGAUACCCUGGUAGUC
RNAcentral lists this ribosomal RNA (465 nucleotides) under uncultured bacterium. RNAcentral's name for it is "partial 16S ribosomal RNA". It matches the Rfam family "Bacterial small subunit ribosomal RNA", at positions 339 to 795 of the family's 1533-position model. The record is from RNAcentral.